This 383-nucleotide ribosomal RNA is filed under the name Escherichia albertii. RNAcentral describes it as "bacterial SSU rRNA". It matches the Rfam family "Bacterial small subunit ribosomal RNA", at positions 195 to 559 of the family's 1533-position model. The record is from RNAcentral. Lineage: Bacteria; Pseudomonadati; Pseudomonadota; Gammaproteobacteria; Enterobacterales; Enterobacteriaceae.
GCAAGACCAAAGAGGGGGACCUUCGGGCCUCUUGCCAUCGGAUGUGCCCAGAUGGGAUUAGCUAGUUGGUGAGGUAACGGCUCACCAAGGCGACGAUCCCUAGCUGGUCUGAGAGGAUGACCAGCCACACUGGAACUGAGACACGGUCCAGACUCCUACGGGAGGCAGCAGUGGGGAAUAUUGCACAAUGGGCGCAAGCCUGAUGCAGCCAUGCCGCGUGUAUGAAGAAGGCCUUCGGGUUGUAAAGUACUUUCAGCGGGGAGGAAGGGAGUAAAGUUAAUACCUUUGCUCAUUGACGUUACCCGCAGAAGAAGCACCGGCUAACUCCGUGCCAGCAGCCGCGGUAAUACGGAGGGUGCAAGCGUUAAUCGGAAUUACUGGGC